UACAGAGACUGCAAGCGUUAUUCGGAUUCACUGGGCGUAAAGGGUGCGUAGGCGGUCGGGUAAGUCUGAUGUGAAAUCUCACAGCUUAACUGUGAAACUGCAUUGGAUACUAUCCGGCUCGAGGAAUGGAGGGGAGACUGGAAUACUUGGUGUAGCAGUGAAAUGCGUAGAUAUCAAGUGGAACACCAGUGGCGAAGGCGAGUCUCUGGACAUUUCCUGACGCUGAGGCACGAAAGCCAGGGGAGCAAACGGG
This 253-nucleotide ribosomal RNA is filed under the name uncultured bacterium. RNAcentral's name for it is "partial 16S ribosomal RNA". It matches the Rfam family "Bacterial small subunit ribosomal RNA", at positions 524 to 776 of the family's 1533-position model. The record is from RNAcentral.